This is a long non-coding RNA of Salvelinus namaycush (lake trout), 951 nucleotides long. RefSeq lists it as uncharacterized. The transcript has 4 exons. The record is from RefSeq and is a predicted model, not a curated record. NCBI's taxonomy places the organism in Eukaryota, Metazoa, Chordata, Actinopteri, Salmoniformes, Salmonidae.
UUCAUCACCAAACCCACUGGCUCCAGGUCAUCUAUAAGUCUUAAAGGAUGUCAUCCAAUUGCAGUGUUACCACGUUACAGCUGGACUCGGUGAGACAGGCAGAAUGCCACCCUGUUCACCUGCUACCCUGCAGAGGUGUCCCAGUUCUUUACAGCCACCAUCAAAGACUGAAAACAUGAGAAAACUGUGUCGUUCAGGGGUCGUGGGUUAAAAGGUCAGGAGCUGUCCACAGGGCUACACAGGCCUGGUGCGAAGAGAGGUCAACAAACCAGGCUCUGACCAGGAGGACAGGGAAGGUGUCCUCAGUGUUCCAUAACAUCACCUACUGGAACCUCGAGACUCCACCCAACUCUGAUGACGGCAUCGUCAUGGCAAUGGCCUGAUCUGGCAGAAGUGGCGAGUGUGCAAAACAAUAAUUUGUUUUAAGAGGACCAUUAGCAUGCUUUACCAUAUGUGGCCCAGGCGUAAUAACACAUGAUUCAUCUUUGACAGAUACACAUGCCAGUGGAUGACUGACAUGGAAGAGGCCAAAGCAAAGAUCAAUCCCUUUUCUACCCUAAUUUUCCUGCUGCAGCCCGAAGACUGCCUCAAUACAUUGGUUGUGUUCAGUAGCCAUUGCUUAGCUUGUGAAAAUAGGAAUAAUGGACAAACAAUGGGUAGAACACUCCUCACAGUCCCUAGUGUUGUAAUGGACAGUGUCUAUCUUUUACAGAUCUAUGGGGUGAAUUGUGCUUGCUGUUUCUUGUGACUUCUGUAGCUAUUGUACCAUGUUCUUUUUGUUGUAUAUUUCUGUCAACAAUUCUACUCAUAUUAUAGGCCAUUGUAAUACAGAUUGUGUUGAAGUCAUUUAUUGAACAGUACUCCAAUUGAAGGAAAUAUCUAAAUACACUGCUCAAAAAAAUAAAGGGAACACAAACAACACAAUGUAACUCCAAGUCAAUCACACUUCUA